This 607-nucleotide long non-coding RNA is filed under the name Ananas comosus (pineapple). RNAcentral's name for it is "long non-coding RNA (ACOM_LNC025276)". Lineage: Eukaryota; Viridiplantae; Streptophyta; Magnoliopsida; Poales; Bromeliaceae. The record is from RNAcentral.
CUGAGUUUUCUAUUUCUGUCUUCCGUUCUACAUGUGGUAAGCCACUGAGUUUUCUAUUUCUCUCUUACGUUCAGCUGUUUUUUCUUCCCUUCCGGCCUGCUCUUCAUGAGCCUUCUGUUGCAUUAUUUACUUUAUUGGUGGAUCAUCAAACAACACUUAAUAGCUGGAUCUUUGGCAACAGAAACAGAUGUUUAGCUCAUUAAUUGUAAGAAAUCAAAGUUUGGUGGCCUAAGUGACAUUUUGCGAUAAGUUAGUGACUAGUGAGGUCAUUUACCUGUGAAUCUGCUUCACCUGAGCCGUUGUUAAAUUUCUAAAGACCUUGUCUAAGUUGAAGAUUUUCUAAAGAAUUCAAGGUUUUCCUUGGACAGGCAGAGGAGAGCUUCAAUGAGAAGGAAACCGGCAUAAGGCGAGGGAAAGGCCGUGGCCGCGGGAGGGGACGAGGGCGUGGCCACCACAAUAACCGCAAUGGAGGGAACCACCAUGUUGGCACUCCGCCCUCUAGCCACCCGAUUCACAACGAGCCACCAGCUGGUGCAAAUAAACAGCCUCCCGGACCUCGGAUGCCAGAUGGGACAAGAGGAUUCACGAUGGGCAGGGGAAAGCUGCU